Molecule: transfer RNA, 59 nt
Filed under: Chryseobacterium sp.
Lineage: Bacteria; Pseudomonadati; Bacteroidota; Flavobacteriia; Flavobacteriales; Weeksellaceae
Description: tRNA-Asp
Rfam family: tRNA
About the family: Transfer RNA (tRNA) molecules are approximately 80 nucleotides in length. Their secondary structure includes four short double-helical elements and three loops (D, anti-codon, and T loops).
Source: RNAcentral
AGUUCAGCUGGUUAGAAUGCCGCCCUGUCACGGCGGAGGUCGCGGGUUCGAGUCCCGUC